GAUGAACGCUGGCGGCGUGCUUAACACAUGCAAGUCGAACGGUGAAAGCGGAGCUUGCUCUGCUGGAUCAGUGGCGAACGGGUGAGUAACACGUGAGCAAUCUGCCCCUGACUCUGGGAUAAGCGCUGGAAACGGCGUCUAAUACCGGAUACGAGCUGCGAAGGCAUCUUCAGCAGCUGGAAAGAACUUCGGUCAGGGAUGAGCUCGCGGCCUAUCAGCUAGUUGGUGAGGUAACGGCUCACCAAGGCGUCGACGGGUAGCCGGCCUGAGAGGGUGACCGGCCACACUGGGACUGAGACACGGCCCAGACUCCUACGGGAGGCAGCAGUGGGGAAUAUUGCACAAUGGGCGGAAGCCUGAUGCAGCAACGCCGCGUGAGGGAUGACGGCCUUCGGGUUGUAAACCUCUUUUAGCAGGGAAGAAGCGAGAGUGACGGUACCUGCAGAAAAAGCACCGGCUAACUACGUGCCAGCCGCCGCGGUAA
Molecule: ribosomal RNA, 484 nt
Filed under: uncultured bacterium
Lineage: Bacteria
Description: partial 16S ribosomal RNA
Rfam family: Bacterial small subunit ribosomal RNA
Source: RNAcentral